This 585-nucleotide long non-coding RNA is filed under the name Sus scrofa (pig). Its description in RNAcentral is "lncRNA (ENSSSCG00035079771.1)". Lineage: Eukaryota; Metazoa; Chordata; Mammalia; Artiodactyla; Suidae. The record is from RNAcentral.
AACUGCCAGCUUGAGAUGGGGCUGCCAGUUUUCCUCUCUUCCUUGCUUCUGACCCGGGUUGGAUUUAACGAAUUUUGAGGGACAGCCAUCCGCCCUUCUUUCAUCGUCCUGCUCCGGCUGCUUCUGCUCCCAGCUGCCCAGUGGAUCUUCCAGCCCUGUUCAAAGUCCUCGAUGACUCCCUGUGACCACAGAGGAAAUAGCAACCUCCUCAGCUUUUAAUUGACCACGGUCCAGAUGGUCAUCAUUCAGAGCCCAGGGGAAACGCCAGGUCCUCUGUGAAGCUGUCGUCAUUACUCUGCCUGAAAUGCUCCCUUCCUCUCAGGUUUCCUAUAUCACGUUGCUUACCCUGCUCUCAAACACCUGUGAUGGCCUCGCCACACACAUCUUCCCAUAUCCGCCUCAUGUCCUUAGACUGUGAGCCCCUGGAGGGCAGGACGCUACUGAAAGCCACUCUGAUUUUCCCACCCACAGCGCUUCCUUACCUAGUCCCCCGGCCCCGCCCACGAUCGGUGCUUGGUUGAGUACUUGUUGAAAGGAUGGGCGACAGUAGGAACGAAUAAAUGAAUUCGGGUAGAGUGAGGUGCA